Molecule: ribosomal RNA, 292 nt
Filed under: uncultured bacterium
Lineage: Bacteria
Description: partial 16S ribosomal RNA
Rfam family: Bacterial small subunit ribosomal RNA
Source: RNAcentral
GUGUCAGCCGCCGCGGUAAUACAGAGGAGGCGAGCGUUGUUCGGAAUCACUGGGCUUAAAGCGCGUGUAGGCGGGAUGCCAGGUACUUUGUGAAAUCCCCCGGCUCAACCGGGGAAUGGCUUGGUAAACCGGCAUUCUUGAGGCAUGUAGAGGCAGGCGGAACUAUGGGUGGAGCGGUGAAAUGCGUAGAGAUCCAUGGGAACACCGGUGGCGAAAGCGGCCUGCUGGGCAUGUUCUGACGCUGAGACGCGAAAGCGUGGGUAGCAAACAGGAUUAGAUACCCUGGUAGUCC